RNAcentral lists this ribosomal RNA (612 nucleotides) under Thermodesulfobacteriota bacterium. RNAcentral describes it as "bacterial SSU rRNA". It matches the Rfam family "Bacterial small subunit ribosomal RNA", at positions 929 to 1533 of the family's 1533-position model. Lineage: Bacteria; Pseudomonadati; Thermodesulfobacteriota. The record is from RNAcentral.
GCGGUGGAGCAUGUGGUUUAAUUCGACGCAACGCGAAGAACCUUACCUGGGCUUGACAUCCCGGGAACUCUGUGGAAACACGGGGGUGCCCCUUCGGGGGAACCUGGUGACAGGUGCUGCAUGGCUGUCGUCAGCUCGUGUCGUGAGAUGUUGGGUUAAGUCCCGCAACGAGCGCAACCCUUGCCUUUAGUUGCCAUCAUUAAGUUGGGCACUCUAGAGGGACUGCCGGUGCUAAACCGGAGGAAGGUGGGGAUGACGUCAAGUCCUCAUGGCCCUUAUGCCCAGGGCUACACACGUGCUACAAUGGUCGGUACAAAGGGCAGCGAACUCGCGAGAGCAAGCAAAUCCCCAAAAGCCGAUCUCAGUUCGGAUCGAAGUCUGCAACUCGACUUCGUGAAGGUGGAAUCGCUAGUAAUCCCGGAUCAGCAUGCCGGGGUGAAUACGUUCCCGGGCCUUGUACACACCGCCCGUCACACCACGAAAGUUGGCUGUACCAGAAGUCGUUGGGCUAACCCGCAAGGGAGGCAGGCGCCCAAGGUAUGGUCAGUGAUUGGGGUGAAGUCGUAACAAGGUAGCCGUAGGGGAACCUGCGGCUGGAUCACCUCCUUUCUA